UCCCAGGUGGCUGAGCGAUAAAGCACCUGCCUGCCAAGCAGAAGAUGCAGUUUUGAUUCCUGGGUUGGGAA
This 71-nucleotide transfer RNA is filed under the name Ovis aries (sheep). It matches the Rfam family "tRNA". From Rfam's summary of the family: Transfer RNA (tRNA) molecules are approximately 80 nucleotides in length. Their secondary structure includes four short double-helical elements and three loops (D, anti-codon, and T loops). Further hydrogen bonds mediate the characteristic L-shaped molecular structure. tRNAs have two regions of fundamental functional importance: the anti-codon, which is responsible for specific mRNA codon recognition, and the 3' end, to which the tRNAs corresponding amino acid is attached (by aminoacyl-tRNA synthetases). tRNAs cope with the degeneracy of the genetic code in two manners: having more than one tRNA (with a specific anti-codon) for a particular amino acid; and 'wobble' base-pairing, i.e. permitting non-standard base-pairing at the 3rd anti-codon position. The record is from Rfam by way of RNAcentral. Lineage: Eukaryota; Metazoa; Chordata; Mammalia; Artiodactyla; Bovidae.